AGCUCCAAUAGCGUAUACUAACGUUGUUGCAGUUAAAAAGCUCGUAGUUGGAUUUCUGUUAGGGUGAGGCGGCCGGCCACUCGUGGUUGUAGCUUGUUAUCACCUUGGCAUCUUGUCACAAUCCGUGAUGGCAUUAACUUGUUGUCGCUGGGGACUGACUCGUUUACUUUGAGAAAAUUAGAGUGUUCAAAGCAGGCUAUCGCCUUGAAUAUAUUAGCAUGGAAUAAUAACAUAGGAUCUUGGUCCUAUUUUGUUGGUUUCUAGGGCUAAGAUAAUGAUUAAUAGGGACAAUUGGGGGCAUUCGUAUCGCGGUGUCAGAGGUGGAAUUCUUGGAUUACUGCGCGACGAACUACUGCGAAAGCAUUUGCCAAGGAUGUUUUCA
RNAcentral lists this ribosomal RNA (382 nucleotides) under uncultured eukaryote. Its description in RNAcentral is "SSU rRNA". It matches the Rfam family "Eukaryotic small subunit ribosomal RNA", at positions 587 to 972 of the family's 1831-position model. The record is from RNAcentral.